RNAcentral lists this long non-coding RNA (4072 nucleotides) under Homo sapiens (human). RNAcentral's name for it is "HSALNT0271601". Lineage: Eukaryota; Metazoa; Chordata; Mammalia; Primates; Hominidae. The record is from RNAcentral.
UAUUUAUCAUAAUUGCAUGAGCAAGAUCUUUAUAAUUAGUCUUUCUAUGUAAUAUAUAUAUACUUAGACAAAUAUAUAUAUAUAUUUGUUUACAUUUGAGUUUAAUGAGUUUAAGUCUAGACCCUAUAUUUUAUGGGGUUCAGAAGCGGAAAUCUGCCAUCUUAAAUUUUGUUUUUCCACAGUAUUCCCUACGGUGCCCUUCACACUGAUGUAUGAACUCAAGACAGGCCCACUUCUCUGCAGAAGAAUGUCCUAAUAUCAAAAAUGUGUCUCUGAUGAAUGUUGGACCAAAGGGAGUAAACAGAACCCAAGACAUCUAACAAAAUGUUCCCCAGAAUUAAGAUGAACACCAAAGAGAAUAGAUAAUUUUAUGGAAACUAUGUUGGUGGGAUCCACUUCCAGCUGUGUGUGUCUGCACACCUCAUUCCUCUUGGUCGUGAGACAAGAACUCAGAACUUGCUGAAAUGCAGAAGUGAAAGAGCAGUAUCACUCCAUCCUGCUGAACUACGGGAGUGAAGAAGCCACAGUAGGACUUUACUAGAAGUGAGGAUUGGAGAACAGAAUCUUUCCAAAAGGAACACCUCGAAUACUCACUUCAUCAAGUCUCUGCAGACCAAAACCCAUCUCUGCUAACCAUACCCAUCUUAAAGAUACAGGAACAACUGCCAUGUUGUGGAGAGAGCAGAAAACAGCAGGCAAUCUCCCAGCCCUGAGAAUGGCCUCCUCUUCCCAACAGCCAGCAGGAAGGCUGGAAUCUCAGUCCUACGACCAAAAGAAACUCUAUUCUAACAGGCCAAAUCAGUCUGGAAGAAGAUCUUAAGCUUCAGCUCACAGAUUCUCUGCCUGUGUCGUAUGGCUAUUGCCAGGGGAUGAACGAGGGUUGCUCUUCGCAAUUCAAGACUGUCUUUCCUACCCUCUUCAGUGCCUCUUGAUGUUAAAACCAGGUACUGUUAUCGCUCAUUUGAUUUUUGGUUCUUAUGAAGGUGGCGUUCUGUGUGAAUAGUUGUUUAGUUUCGUGUUCCUGUAGGGGGAGGGAUGGUCUUUAGAGGGAGUCUACUUAGCCAUCUUGCUCUGCCUCCUCUCCAGAAUCUCUUUCUUAAUCAAAUGCAGUAACUUCCUACAUUCCUCUGCUGUAUCCAGUCUUAUCUCCCAUGAAUCUGUUUAUACCGUAGCAGAGAAAGUGAUCUACCUUUUAAAAAACCUGACCAUGUUGCUGUCACCAAAACAUUCUAUUGUUUUUUAGCUCCUCCUCAUGUACAAAUUCUCAAACUUCUUAACAAUUUUCUUUCAUAACUUUGUACUUACUGAUCUAUGUCAACUUUUUUUUAAUCCUAGCUUUGCACUUUAUAUUUAACCACGCAGAACUCUUGUGAGACUGAGCCCUUAGCCUAUGAAAUCUGUCGCUAUCUCUGGAUAGAUACUUGUGUUGCUUCACCAAUACUGUGAUGUUUCUUGUCAUAAUUAUUUACUCUGUUCUUUUCUUCCUGAAAUGUCCUACAGUUUUCUUUAAUCAACUUCUCUUUAUCUUUUCUGUAUCAUAUCUAGUACCACUUCACAAUCCACAUUUCUGGUUCUCUCUCUAAUAACAUCCCAAGAAUUUCUCUAACACUGAACUUUGCUUCAUAAUAGUUAUCUAUGUGACUAUAAUUCUUGAAGAAAGAGACUGCCUCAUCUCUGAUUCUACAUUGCUUUAUGCAGUUUGUGUUAAUGGUAUAAAGAUAACAAAUAUUUAUUAACUAAAUGAGUACAGUGUAAGCUGUUAAAUUACUUGAGAAACAAAGUUGCUGAUAAUCUUUAUGAUCCUUAUUUUCUUUUAAUUAUUUUUUCAAGUUUUGUCUCUUAAUGCAGAGCUAAUGAAUACAUGGAAAUUCAACUCAAAUCAAAUUCAGAUUUGAGAUAAUCAACAGUAUGUUCUAUUGCCAAUUUUGCCCAAAUGGUAUAUUAUUCAGUUUCUCAUAAAUUGGCACCAAACUUACUUGUUACUUCACUUCCAAAAAAUAAUCUUAAACAUCAUAUCAGGUAACUGUGGUUUGCUUAUCCUUCAUAUUCAAUAAUUGGUCAUGAUUUCUUUUACCUCCUAAGAGAUUAAACAUCUAAAUCUUCUCUGCAAUGUUGUAUAUUUCUAUAGUUCAUUUCCAAAUAAUCAAAUAUCAUCCUAUUUCUUCAGUAUCUGUCAAAAUGUCAUCUCUGCUUUUAGAUUUACUAACUCAAAUUCAUCAUCCACGUGAUUUUUAUUCUUAUCUCUUUAAAUGAAAUUUAAUGCUGUAUGAUUUUUCCUUUAUUGAGCUUGGUGUCCAGAGAUCUAUAGGACUCUGGUGAGAGAGUGUUGGAAGUGAAGAUUGAAGGUUGACUUUUUCAGAAGGGCCUCAAUGAGUCUGGAUUCAAAACAAGAAGUGAGCUACUUCUUCAUUGAUAGGAUGGUUGGAAGUAAAACAAUAUCUGAGAGCAGAAAGCCCUCUUCUAUUUUUCUAGCUCAGUAGCGGUGAGAGUCUUUCAUCUGUAGCCUCCCAGGGAAGGAGUCCCAUGUACCUCUAAGAUCCUGAGGGUUCUGGCUAUGAAACAUAUGUAAACAUUAAAAUCAAAGUCUAGAUUCAUUGACAUAAUGAAAUUGCAGCUUUUCUGAUAGGCCUCAGGAAGAAGAGAGAGAAAAAUAAGAUGGAAAAUUUGAAGCACAUGGCAAGGGAAAAAAGCUGCUGAAAGAGACAGAUGGACACCUGAUUUGUUUUAAGCAUUUAGGAAGAUGCACUCAGAAAUUAGAUUAGAUGAGAGAAAAUUAAGACCAACUUUAAUGACUUAACAGGUUUAGGAAAAUUUGGAGGAAAAGAAUAGGAGCUUCAAAGGGGGCAAAGGGGACAGAUGGAGGAUCAGAAAUAACAAAACAAUUGAUUGAAGAAAAUUUGAACUAAAUGAAGAACUGUGUUUUCAUAUUGAGAAUACUCACUGGGUCAGUCCUAGGCUGCACUAAUGAGAAAAAAUUUCUAACUGGGCAAAGCCUGAUAGAAUUAAUGAUAAAGAAAAAAAUUUUAACUGUAUAUGUAAGCAUAAGUCAUCAGUAAAUAAAUAUAUUUGCAUUACCAGUGGUUAUAAAAUAUCACUUACUCAAGAUAUUAUUUGCAUCUCAGAUGCAGAAAGGUAUUUGAAGAUAUGCAAUAAUUCAAAAGCGUAUUACGUGGAAGGAUGAAUCCAAUUCCUGUUAUAUCAUUUUGGCCAGUAAAGAAAACUAACACAAGAACAGAAAACCAAACAUCGCAUGUUCUCACUCAUAAGUGGGAGUUGAACAAUGAGAACACUUGGCCCCCGGGAGGGUGGACAUCCCACACUGGGGCCUGUCGGGGGGUGGGGGGCUAGGGGAGGGAUAGCAUUAGGAGAAAUACCUAAUGUAUAUGACGGGUUGAUGGGUGCAGCAAACCACCAUGGCACGUGUAUACCUAUGUAACAAACCUGCACGUCCUGCACAUGUACCCCAGAACUUAAAAUAUAAUAAAAAAAGAAGGCACAACUUUUAUUUUUUUUAGCAUUUCUUUUGUAAGCAUGUGUUUUAUAUACUUUAUGCUAUGCAGACAUUAGUCAGUGUUUUUAGCAACUUCCAGAAAAUACAUGAGGAGAGUGUACUUUUGAAGCUAAAAUACAUGGCUUCAAUUAUGUUUUGAAAUGAAAGACUUUUGUUGUAAAAUUGUUGAAUUCUUCAUUAAAUGACUCGGGUUUUAAGACAGCUGUAAUAAUAACUAACAUUACAUUACUAAUGUGAUUAUGAUCUUCCUGUGUAUUACAAACUAUAUUUCAUGCUGGGUGAUGGGACUUAGGGCUUACUGUGAGAUGAUUCUAGCUUCAUAGCCCAGAUUGCUGGUUAUUAGACUCCAGCUCAUACGGCAUCACUCUUUCUUAUUCUUAGCAAGAACAUGGACAAGUUUUCAUUUUCAGUGUACCUUCCUCACCCUACAGAACGGUUGAGAGGUUAUAUCUUAGGCCUGUUAAAAUCAUGGUUGCUUUCAGCCGGGCCAGUGGCUUAUGCCUGUAAUCCCACCACCUUGGAAGGCUGAGGCGGGAGGAUCAUGAGGUCAGGAGAUCGAGA